RNAcentral lists this ribosomal RNA (499 nucleotides) under uncultured bacterium. Its description in RNAcentral is "partial 16S ribosomal RNA". It matches the Rfam family "Bacterial small subunit ribosomal RNA", at positions 28 to 507 of the family's 1533-position model. The record is from RNAcentral.
GAUGAACGCUGGCGGCGUGCCUAAUACAUGCAAGUCGAGCGAACAGACGAGAGUGCUUGCACUCUCUGACGUUAGCGGCGGACGGGUGAGUAACACGUAGGUAACCUACCUAUAAGACUGGGAUAACUUCGGGAAACCGGAGCUAAUACCGGAUAAUAUUUAGCUUCGCAUGAGGCAAUAGUGAAAGACGGUUCUGCUGUCACUUAUAGAUGGACCCGCGGUGUAUUAGCUAGUUGGUGAGGUAACGGCUCACCAAGGCAACGAUGCAUAGCCGACCUGAGAGGGUGAUCGGCCACACUGGGACUGAGACACGGCCCAGACUCCUACGGGAGGCAGCAGUAGGGAAUCUGCCGCAAUGGACGAAAGUCUGACGGAGCAAUGCCGCGUGAGUGAAGAAGGUGUUCGGAUCGUAAAACUCUGUUGUAAGGGAAGAACAAGUACGUUAGUAACUGAACGUACCUUGACGGUACCUUACCAGAAAGCCACGGCUAACUACGUG